GACGAACGCUGGCGGCGUGCUUAACACAUGCAAGUCGAACGGAAAGGCCCUGCUUUUGUGGGGUGCUCGAGUGGCGAACGGGUGAGUAACACGUGAGUAACCUGCCCUUGACUUUGGGAUAACUUCAGGAAACUGGGGCUAAUACCGGAUAGGAGCUCCUGCUGCAUGGUGGGGGUUGGAAAGUUUCGGCGGUUGGGGAUGGACUCGCGGCUUAUCAGCUUGUUGGUGGGGUAGUGGCUUACCAAGGCUUUGACGGGUAGCCGGCCUUAGAGGGUGACCGGCCACAUUGGGACUGAGAUACGGCCCAGACUCCUACGGGAGGCAGCAGUGGGGAAUAUUGCACAAUGGGCGGAAGCCUGAUGCAGCAACGCACCGUGCGGGAUGACGGCCUUCGGGUUGUAAACCGCUUUCGCCUGUGACGAAGCGUUAGUGACGGUAAUGGGUAAAGAAGCACCGGCUAACUACGUG
RNAcentral lists this ribosomal RNA (468 nucleotides) under uncultured bacterium. RNAcentral describes it as "partial 16S ribosomal RNA". It matches the Rfam family "Bacterial small subunit ribosomal RNA", at positions 28 to 507 of the family's 1533-position model. The record is from RNAcentral.